UACGAAGGGGGCUGGCGUUGUUCGGAAUUACUGGGCGUAAAGCGCGCGCAGGCGGUCUUCCAAGUCAGUGGUGAAAGCCCGGAGCUCAACUCCGGAACUGCCAUUGAAACUGUGAGACUUGAGGAUGAGAGAGGUGAGUGGAAUUCCCAGUGUAGAGGUGAAAUUCGUAGAUAUUGGGAAGAACACCGGUGGCGAAGGCGGCUCACUGGCUCAUUUCUGACGCUCAGGCGCGACAGCGUGGGGAUCAAACAGG
RNAcentral lists this ribosomal RNA (253 nucleotides) under uncultured bacterium. Its description in RNAcentral is "partial 16S ribosomal RNA". It matches the Rfam family "Bacterial small subunit ribosomal RNA", at positions 524 to 776 of the family's 1533-position model. The record is from RNAcentral.